UGAUGGAAAUCAUGGAAAAAGGUCAAACUCCUGGUGUCUCCACAGGACGGUUCAGAUUUAUGAGCUCCAGCAGCUGCUGCCAUCGUAUUUUAGCUUUGAAUUCACUGUGACCUCAGAUAAAAAAAUAUGAAACAAUGAAUUAAAAGUUCUAGAUCAGUAACAACGUUGUCAUCAUCUUGUCAGCCCACGUGGGCCACAUCAGACGCCGCUCCUGUCCAGCCUGAGGCCCGGAGACAUCCUACCUCUGAGCUUCACGUAGAUCAUCAUUCCUGCCAGAGCCAGGAGCAGCCCGCCGAUCACCAGACCCAGGAUCCACCAGUGGGUGGGCUUCUCUGAUGUGCUGCGCUCACCUGUGCACAGGGUUAUCGAUGAUGACGUCGCUGCGUUCGGUGUGUGUGCUGAACGCAGCCAGGAACCUGCAGAUGUAGCUGCCCGUGUGCUCUGAGUGUCUGGGGUCCAUCAGCCUCAGGGACCCGUCGCCAAACGACACCCUGAAGCCGUCCAAUUCCACGUGUCCCUCCCACCGAGGUGUGGACGAGCUGCGUCCAGACUGACCGUCGUACGUAAGGAUGUGCGAAGGGCUGUCUUCACCGUUGGAGAAGCUCCACUCCAGAGAUGGGCUGUUCAGGUCAGAAACUACGGCUGUGGACACCUCUUUCUCUGAGUGAUGUGGUCCACGUGGGUCCCCCGUAUGGGCUGCUGACCCUGCAGAUGUAGAGCAGCUCUGGAUUCCCCUUCAGCAGCCUGAGCCGGCUGUCCACGGU
Cynoglossus semilaevis (tongue sole) is the source of this 764-nucleotide long non-coding RNA. RefSeq lists it as uncharacterized. Lineage: Eukaryota; Metazoa; Chordata; Actinopteri; Pleuronectiformes; Cynoglossidae. The record is from RefSeq and is a predicted model, not a curated record. The transcript is spliced from 3 exons.